Ornithodoros turicata is the source of this 494-nucleotide long non-coding RNA. RefSeq lists it as uncharacterized. The record is from RefSeq and is a predicted model, not a curated record. The transcript is spliced from 3 exons. Lineage: Eukaryota; Metazoa; Arthropoda; Arachnida; Ixodida; Argasidae.
GUCAGAUAACACCCAACGAGAUGCGUGGGUCUGCGCAAUUCGAAGGACUGGCUGGGCACCGAAGCCGAGAACGAGCAAGCUGUGUUCGAAGCACUUUCGUGCUCAGGAUUUCGACAGAUCCUUGAACCGUGUGCGUCUCCGAGCGGGUGCUGUUCCCCAAAUAUUCCCUUGGUCUUCUCAGGAAGAACAGCCCACUCAGGAGACGAUACAUGGGACAAGCCACCCAGGCCCAAGUGUGGAAUGCACAGCUGCUCAGGUCCCUGCCGCAUAUGCAAUGGAAGUUGAUGAAAGUCUAGGCUCAGUGGACCAGUUCAGCUUGUGCACAGAAAAUGUGAGCACUUCCUAUCUGGCACAUGAAGAAGACUCCAAUGUGAGUGUCAUGCUCAUUUGUGUAGGCACUCCACAGCAAUAUUUGAAAUAAAUUCUACAACUCUCUCCUCUAUAGAAAACACCAGUAACAAAGUAUCUUCCUUAUUUCUUACCUACAUAGGGUA